UCAAAGACACGCUUUCGAUUGCGGUGUGCAGGUUUUUACGAUGGUCUGGUGCCUAUUUGAAAUGCAUCCCUCUCUUUCUCAGCGGGUGGUUAGCAGGGAGAAAUCAACGAUGGCCCAUAUAGACAACCUUCUUACAAUGCUUCAAAUACAUGCUGCCUGUAUCGUCUAAACACUGGGUGCAGGACCGAUAUCCCUUAUUUGUUUGUCCCAAAAGAUUACUCAGUGCAGGCCAAUCAUUGAUGGUUACAAACAACAAUGCUCGUAGGUUAAAGCUCUCUUGUUUAUCCUCAUCCCACACACGUGCACCUUUUUCCUUCCAGAGCAAUAAAAGUUCAUCAACCAAUGGUCUUAGGUACACGUCAAUGUCAUUGCGGGGUUGUUUUGGGCCUUGGAUAAGCAUCGGCAUCAUAAUGAACUUCUGCUUCACGCAUAGCCAAGAAGGAAGGUUGACCAUGCAUAGGGUCACAAGCCAAGUACUAUGACCACUACUCAACUCACUAAAUAGAUUGAAUCCAUCAGUACUUAAACCAAACCUUAUAUUCCUUGCAUCACUUUCAAAGUUCGGGAAUCUCUAUCAAUUUAUCUCCACCGGGCCCCAUCCGCGGGGUGUCUCAGCAUCUCAUCUUGCUUACGUUCUUCUUUGUGACAUCGCAUCAAUUUAGCAUUUGCCUUGUUUCUGAAUAAACCCUUCAAGCAUGGUAUUACAUGGAAAUACCACAUCACCUUCACAGGAACUCUCUCCUUGGGAGGCUGCCCCUCGACAUCAUCAAGAUCAUCUCGUCUGAUCUUAUACCACAGCGCUCUGCAUAUAGGACAAGCAUUCAAUUUCUCGUAUUCAUCACCAUGAUAGAGGAUACAAUCAUUAGGGUAUGCGUGUAUCUUCUGAACCUACAAUCCUAGAGGCAAACAAUCUGUUUAGUUUCAUAUGUGGUGGACGGCAAUUCAUUAUUCUCGGGAAGAAUCUUCUUGACAAUUUUCAACAUCCCCUGAAAUGCCUUAUCGGACACACCAUUUUUUGGCUUUCAUUGCAUAAAUUCUAGUGUGGUACCUAGUUUUUUAUGGCUCUACUUGCAAUCUAGGUACAACAAUUUUUUAUGAUCAUUAAUCAUGCGCUGCAACUUUUCUGAUUCCUUCACAAUUUCACAAUCUCUAUGUGCAUCCCAUAGCACCUGACUAAGGUCAUUAGUAGGGCCAUCUUCUGCAAACUCAUCUUCAUCAACCUCGCCCAUCGUAGUAUCUGCAAAAGCUUGGCCUGCAGCCGAGUCCGGAAUGUUGUUAUCAUCCUUCUCUUCUUCGCCGUCUUCCAUUACAACCCCUCUUUCGUCAUGCUUGGUCCAAACCAAAUAGUUAGGCAUUAAACUGUAUCUAAACAAGUGGCUAUGAAUAGUCUCCCUAGAAGCCUAUGAAUAGUCCUUCUUGUUACUGCAUUGGAAGCAUGGACAACAUAUGAACCCGUUCUCUGACUUGUUCACUUUGGCCACUUCAAGAAAAUAAUACAAGCCAUCAACAAACUCCUUGCUUCGUCUGUCCGCGUUAUACAUCCAUUGCUGGUCCAUCUGCAUCGUAUUACGUGGAAAAUGAACAUAGGGUUUCGUAUAGAAUUAUUAUUUAUAAUUUAGUUCUUGCAUUAAACAUGAGAUAAAUAAAUUUUUGGUCAAAGAAAUACAAUUAUUAAUUGUUAAAUUAUAGUGGCAUGAAAAAAUGUAGCAAUGACCAAAUUUUAUUUUUUUACACCUACAAUUUAUUUACCUUAAUUUUAUUGCAAUGACUAAAUAUUAAAAACAUAUUUACUCUAAUUUUUUCUCAUACAUAAUAUUGAAAUCCUCUCAAUUCUCCCUCACAUUCUAGCUCAAAAUCCUCUCCAUUUUCUCCUUCACAUUCUCCCACACAUCAACUUAUUUUAACUAAUAGGAAUCAUAUAUAACAAGCAAACUAUCCAUCACAUUCUAGCUCAAAAAUAUGUAUAAAUACAAAUCCUCUCCAUUCUCCCUCAUUCUAACCAACUCAUUUUUCUCCCUUUCUAAAGCAUAAAACAAAACAUAACAACAAUAAAUGAAAGGAGGAUAAAGUACCUAACCUUCACAACGCUUUGGAUGAGUGAAAUCCCCACGGAAAUGAGGAAAAAAAAUUCGACCAGC
This 2138-nucleotide long non-coding RNA is filed under the name Setaria viridis. RNAcentral describes it as "long non-coding RNA (SVIR_LNC004061)". Lineage: Eukaryota; Viridiplantae; Streptophyta; Magnoliopsida; Poales; Poaceae. The record is from RNAcentral.